Molecule: long non-coding RNA, 3268 nt
Organism: Loxodonta africana (African savanna elephant)
Lineage: Eukaryota; Metazoa; Chordata; Mammalia; Proboscidea; Elephantidae
Exons: 5
Source: RefSeq, a predicted model, not a curated record
CCGCCGCUCUUCUCCCCGACUUUCGCCAUGGUGUUUGCUGCUAAGCGUCUAUACGGAAACGGAAAUAGUUUCUUAGUCUGAACCGGUCCUUAUGCUUUUACUUCCGGGGUCGCAAUGAUCUUUAAAAAUAUUAAAAAAAAUUUUUUUUAUAUAUAUAGACUAGGUUUUUAACUAGGUUAAGUAAAUAAAUAACGUAGUGAGCUAUAAAGUAAUACAUGAUGUGGAAAGACUAGAACAGAAUAAAAGGAGGUGAAGAGGAGUAGAUUACACCUUUAAAUAGGGUUCUCAGGAAAGGCUUAAUUGAAAAAGUUAUGUUAAGCAGAUUUGAAGAAUGUAGGGGCUUUAAACUCUGCAGUUGUCUGGAAGGAAGAACUGCUCAUCUGGGAAAAGCUAGUUAUCUGGUAGAAAAGCUGUUCAAGCUGAACAGCUAGCUCAAAGGCUCCUAGUCAGCGACAAGCCCGGCAUGUUCAAGGAACACCACAGAGGCCAGUGUAGACGGAGUUAGAUGAUGAAGGAGGAAAAUAAGGGAUGGGGGUGGGAGGCAGAUUGUGUAGAAUUUUGAAAGGACUUUGGCUUAUGCGAACUGUGGAGCCCCUGGAGGAUUUUGAGAAAAGAAAUGACAUGACCUAACUUACUUUUUGAAAGCAUCACUCAGAUGCUUUUGAGAAUAGACUAUGAGAGUGGGCAAGUGGAAGGAGAGGAGAAAUGAUAGUUGUUUGAACCAGGGUAGUUCAAAGGGAGAUGAUAAGCGAUCCGAUUCUUUUGAAAGGUAGAAUACCUGAUGAUUGAAUGGAAGGCUUGAGAGAAAGAAGAGUCAAGGAUGACUCCAAGGCUUUUGACAUGAGCAUCUGAAAGGAUGCAUUACCAUCAAUUGAGAUGGAGACGGUGGCAGGUCGAACAGAUUUGAGAGGUGGUCAUGGUUCCUUGAUGCCUAUUGUCUUCAGUUUUGGAGCUUCACGGCAAUUCUGAAAACACAAGAAGAUAAUAAUAUGAAAAUAUGAGAGAAACUUGGAGCUUGGCAAUAUAGAGAAGGUGAAGGCAAAGAGAAAGGAAAGGCAUCGAAAGGGGAAAAGAGGCAAAAGGACACACUCUGUACCUGACUGCAUUUCGAAACACCUGGGCUAGUCUGACCCACCCCUCCACAGGCUAUGUCACCAGGACACUGAAAAGGAAGUUGCUACUGACUGGAAGCCGGUAGUUCUGUGCUGAGCUUAGGUGCACUUAAACCAACAUGGAACCCUGAAGGCCAGACUGUAGCGGGUUGUCUCAGAACCUUCUUGAAUGAGAGGAAUCGGUCAAACUGGAUUGCUGUCUAAAAUGACCUUUUGUUGAGAGAAUUGAUUCAAGGAGAUCAAAAUGGAUGACACCAUGUCCUUCCCAGAUCCAGCUGGCCUGAAGCCUAUGUAGUGAGGUUGGCAGUGUCGUGAAAAGAAGACUCAGGAGACCAGAUUGUCACUUGGAUUCUGCUCUGUUAUCAUGGGCAAAACGUUUAACUUAACUCUUUAAUUUCUUGUCUUCUAAAUAUCAUACGCUGUUAUGAAGAGGAAAUUUAUAUAAUGGAUUUGGAAACAUCUGGGAAGAUCAGAAAAUAUAUAAUAAUUUACACAAAAACCUAGUUUGACUAAUAUAUACCCAUACAUAUAUUGACUAUAAAUGCAUGUAUCGUAUAUAUGUACCCUGCAUGUGUGUAGGUACAUACAUAUAUGUGUAUUGUAUGUAGCUAAAUAUAUUUAUAAAAAGAAUGUGUGUAUACAUGUAGGAGGUAUACAGGUGAAGACAAUUCUUUCUGAAAACAUCAUAUACAUUUAUAAAAACUUCUCCCCUCUCUCACUGAGAAUAAUAGCUUACAGGCAGAAAGAAUAAAGACCCAGGACUCUAUUGAUAAUCUUUUAAUUCCUGAAAUUCUUAAUUGCUGAGGAGAGGUUUGUGUUUCUUAGUUCCCAUGCACAUUUCAUUAAAAAGAAGAGUUUGAGAUGAUACUCUAAUUAAAGCGUAUUUAUAAUGCACUCAUCCUUAUCUAAUAAUGUACCUGAUUAAAUACUUUGCCAACAGUUCCAUUGUCCCUUGUCUCAUUUGUACUCUGAAUGGAAGCAAGGCAUCAAAACCUUCUUGUAAACAUUCUAAGAGAAAUAAUUGAUGAAAACAAUUACAAAAUAUGCAAGAUUCUGAAUAAAGGAAAAUCUAGUUUGUCACAAAACGUGUGCAUUUUUUAUUUACUCAGUUUCCAAAAUAACUGAUCUUUUCAUAAAUCCUUCCAGUUUUCCAAAAGCAACAAAUAAUUUAAUAUGUGACAUUAAGUUUUUUUUUUAAGUAGUGAAUUAUAAAGAAAUGGAAUAGUUUUCAUUUUUACCAAUGUAUUGUUCCAUUACAGGAUACAGUCUGAUCCAUGUUAUGAUCUGUGGCUGGUUAACUCAGAGGUUCCAAGUGCUAAUGGAGUCAAAGUAAUGCAUUUAGUGUUGUGAGGCUCGGAUUGGCUUAUUACUCUGACCACAGACACAUCCCUAAUCCUAACUAACCCUUCAUUUUAUCAAUUAUUGAUGUCGAGAACUGAGGCCAAGCAAUUCAGUGUUGUCUAAAUAAGGCAAAACUAUCUCCACCAAUGAGGGGAAAACAACUCAAAGUUCUUACCCUAUUUCCAAAUAUUUUCAGUAUCAUCCUUGGAUAGUGCAUUCAUAAUUAUGUCUUAUAUGCGCAAUGACUAAGCAUUGGGUUGCUAACCAAAAGGUCAGCAGUUCAGAUCUACCAGCCACUCCUUGGAAACUCUGUGGGGGAGUUCUGCUCUGUCCUAUACGGUUGCUAUGACUCAGAAUCGACUCGAUGGCAGUGGGUUCAGUUUUUCUGGUUUAUGCAUAGGGAAGGUUAUAAGUUGGAGAAUUCUAGGUAUUUUUAAUUAAACUCUUUCAAGAUCCUAAUAUGCCAGACAAAAAGCUGAAGUGCAGUGGAUUGGGAAUUAGGCACACUGAUCUGAAUCCCAAUUUUUCCAUUUACUAGCUUUGAGCACUUAGACAAGUCCUUUAACCUUUUUCAGCCUCAAUUUCCUCAUGGAACUGGAGAGUUAAAUACCUACUUCCCAGUUUAUUAUAAGGAUUAAAUGAGAUAAUGUGUGUAAAGCACUUAGCAUAGUACUUGUUAUUGUUAUGUGCUGUUGAGUCGUUUUUGACUUACACUGACCCCAUGUGACAGGGUAGAACUGCCCCAUAGGGUGUUCUUGGCUGUAAUCUUUAAGGAAGUAGAUCGCCAGGUCUUUCUUCCAUGGAGCCACUGGGUG